RNAcentral lists this ribosomal RNA (459 nucleotides) under uncultured bacterium. RNAcentral describes it as "partial 16S ribosomal RNA". It matches the Rfam family "Bacterial small subunit ribosomal RNA", at positions 339 to 795 of the family's 1533-position model. The record is from RNAcentral.
CUACGGGCUGCUGCAGUGAGGAAUAUUGGUCAAUGGGCGCAAGCCUGAACCAGCCAUCCCGCGUGAAGGAAGAAUGCGCUAUGCGUUGUAAACUUCUUUUCCGGAGGAAUAAAAUCCUGUACGUGUAUGGGACUGAAGGUACUCCGGGAAUAAGCAUCGGCUAACUCCGUGCCAGCAGCCGCGGUAAUACGGAGGAUGCGAGCGUUAUCCGGAUUUAUUGGGUUUAAAGGGUGCGUAGGCGGAUUAAUAAGUCAGCGGUGAAAACCUUCAGCUUAACUGGAGACUUGCCAUUGAUACUGUUAGUCUUGAGUAUGGUUAAGGUAGGCGGAAUGUGUAAUGUAGCGGUGAAAUGCUUAGAUAUUACACAGAACACCAAUUGCGAAGGCAGCUUACUGAGCCAUAACUGACGCUGAUGCACGAAAGCGUGGGGAGCGAACAGGAUUAGAUACCCGAGUAGUC